GAUGAACGCUGGCGGCGUGCCUAAUACAUGCAAGUCGAGCGAACAGACGAGGAGCUUGCCCCUCUGACGUUAGCGGCGGACGGGUGAGUAACACGUGGAUAACCUACCUAUAAGACUGGGAUAACUUCGGGAAACCGGAGCUAAUACCGGAUAAUAUAUUGAACCGCAUGGUUCAAUAGUGAAAGACGGUUUUGCUGUCACUUAUAGAUGGAUCCGCGCCGCAUUAGCUAGUUGGUAAGGUAACGGCUUACCAAGGCAACGAUGCGUAGCCGACCUGAGAGGGUGAUCAGCCACACUGGAACUGAGACACGGUCCAGACUCCUACGGGAGGCAGCAGUAGGGAAUCUUCCGCAAUGGGCGAAAGCCUGACGGAGCAACGCCGCGUGUGUGAUGAAGGUCUUCGGAUCGUAAAACUCUGUUAUUGGGGAAGAACAAAUGUGUAAGUAACUAUGCACGUCUUGACGGUACCUAAUCAGAAAGCCACGGCUAACUACGUG
This 497-nucleotide ribosomal RNA is filed under the name uncultured bacterium. Its description in RNAcentral is "partial 16S ribosomal RNA". It matches the Rfam family "Bacterial small subunit ribosomal RNA", at positions 28 to 507 of the family's 1533-position model. The record is from RNAcentral.